Molecule: transfer RNA, 74 nt
Filed under: Falseniella ignava
Lineage: Bacteria; Bacillati; Bacillota; Bacilli; Lactobacillales; Aerococcaceae
Also listed under: 1 other name
Description: Facklamia ignava tRNA-Arg
Rfam family: tRNA
About the family: Transfer RNA (tRNA) molecules are approximately 80 nucleotides in length.
Source: RNAcentral
GCACCCUUAGCUCAACUGGAUAGAGCGUCUGACUUCGGAUCAGAAGGUUGUGGGUUCGACCCCUACAGGGUGUG